This 141-nucleotide ribosomal RNA is filed under the name Parmotrema praesorediosum. RNAcentral's name for it is "5.8S ribosomal RNA". It matches the Rfam family "5.8S ribosomal RNA". Rfam says of the family: 5.8S ribosomal RNA (5.8S rRNA) is a component of the large subunit of the eukaryotic ribosome. It is transcribed by RNA polymerase I as part of the 45S precursor that also contains 18S and 28S rRNA. Lineage: Eukaryota; Fungi; Ascomycota; Lecanoromycetes; Lecanorales; Parmeliaceae. RNAcentral also lists the same sequence under 1 other name. The record is from RNAcentral.
AUCUCUUGGUUCCAGCAUCGAUGAAGAACGCAGCGAAAUGCGAUAAAUAAUGUGAAUUGCAGAAUUCAGUGAAUCAUCGAAUCUUUGAACGCACAUUGCGCCCCUCGGUAUUCCGGGGGGCAUGCCUGUUCGAGCGUCAUU